GGUGGGGAUGACGUCAAAUCAGCACGGCCCUUAUGUCCAGGGCUACACACGUGUUACAAUGGCCGGUACAGAGGGCAGCUAUGCCGCGAGGCAAUGCGAAUCUCGAAAGCCGGUCUCAGUUCGGAUCGGAGUCUGCAACUCGACUCCGUGAAGCUGGAUUCGCUAGUAAUCGCGCAUCAGCCAUGGCGCGGUGAAUACGUUCCCGGGCCUUGUACACACCGCCCGUCAAGCCAUGGAAGUUGGGGGUACCUGAAGUCCGUAACCGCAAGGAGCGGCCUAGGAUAAAACCAGUGACUGGGGCU
This 302-nucleotide ribosomal RNA is filed under the name uncultured bacterium. Its description in RNAcentral is "bacterial SSU rRNA". It matches the Rfam family "Bacterial small subunit ribosomal RNA", at positions 1172 to 1482 of the family's 1533-position model. The record is from RNAcentral.